GAUGUUAAGUCAGUUGUGAAAGGCUGCGGCUCAACCGCAGCACUGCAGUUGAUACUGGCGUCCUUGAGUGCGGUUGAGGUAUGUGGAAUUCGUGGUGUAGCGGUGAAAUGCUUAGAUAUCACGAAGAACUCCGAUUGUGAAGGCAGCAUACUAAGCCGCUACUGACGUUGAGGCUCGAAAGUGUGGGUAUCAAACAGGAUUAGAUACCCCUGGUAGUCCACACGGUAAACGAUGAAUACUCGCUGUUGGCGAUAUACAGUCAGCGGCCAAGCGAAAGCAUUAAGUAUUCCACCUGGGGAGUACGCCGGCAACGGUGAAACUCAAAGGAAUUGACGGGGGCCCGCACAAGCGGAGGAACAUGUGGUUUAAUUCGAUGAUACGCGAGGAACCUUACCCGGGCUUAAAUUGCACUGGACAGUCUCAGAGAUGGGAUUUUCUUCGGACCAGUGUGAAGGUGCUGCAUGGUUGUCGUCAGCUCGUGCCGUGAGGUGUCGGCUUAAGUGCCAUAACGAGCGCAACCCUUGCCAUUAGUUACUAACAGGUCAUGCUGAGGACUCUAGUGGGACUGCCAUCGUAAGAUGUGAGGAAGGUGGGGAUGACGUCAAAUCAGCACGGCCCUUACGUCCGGGGCUACACACGUGUUACAAUGGGAGGUACAGAAGGCUGCUACCCGGCGACGGGAUGCCAAUCCCCAAAACCUCUCUCAGUUCGGAUUGGAGUCUGCAACCCGACUCCAUGAAGCUGGAUUCGCUAGU
This 755-nucleotide ribosomal RNA is filed under the name uncultured Bacteroidota bacterium. RNAcentral's name for it is "bacterial SSU rRNA". It matches the Rfam family "Bacterial small subunit ribosomal RNA", at positions 579 to 1339 of the family's 1533-position model. The record is from RNAcentral. Lineage: Bacteria; Pseudomonadati; Bacteroidota.